UGGGGAAUUUUGGACAAUGGGCGAAAGCCUGAUCCAGCAAUGCCGCGUGUGUGAAGAAGGCCUUCGGGUUGUAAAGCACUUUUGUCCGGAAAGAAAUCCUUGGCUCUAAUACAGUCGGGGGAUGACGGUACCGGAAGAAUAAGCACCGGCUAACUACGUGCCAGCAGCCGCGGUAAUACGUAGGGUGCAGGCGUUAAUCGGAAUUACUGGGCGUAAAGCGUGCGCAGGCGGUUUGCUAAGACCGAUGUGAAAUCCCCGGGCUCAACCUGGGAACUGCAUUGGUGACUGGCAGGCUAGAGUAUGGCAGAGGGGGGUAGAAUUCCACGUGUAGCAGUGAAAUGCGUAGAGAUGUGGAGGAAUACCGAUGGCGAAGGCAGCCCCCUGGGCCAAUACUGACGCUCAUGCACGAAAGCGUGGGGAGCAAACAGGAUUAGAUACCCUGGUAGUCCACGCCCUAAACGAUGUCAACUAGUUGUUGGGGAUUCAUUUCCUUAGUAACGUAGCUAACGCGUGAAGUUGACCGCCUGGGGAGUACGGUCGCAAGAUUAAAACUUAAAGGAAUUGACGGGGUCAUAGCUGUUUCCU
This 585-nucleotide ribosomal RNA is filed under the name uncultured bacterium. Its description in RNAcentral is "partial 16S ribosomal RNA". It matches the Rfam family "Bacterial small subunit ribosomal RNA", at positions 355 to 1375 of the family's 1533-position model. The record is from RNAcentral.